Molecule: non-coding RNA, 2811 nt
Organism: Miniopterus natalensis
Lineage: Eukaryota; Metazoa; Chordata; Mammalia; Chiroptera; Miniopteridae
Source: RefSeq, a predicted model, not a curated record
GUCUUGCUCCGAAUUUCAGCGCGGCCAGGCUGCCAGCGCGCGUCCGUCCAUCUGCAAGGCUUUAGAGCGAGGGGGACCACCGGGGAAAGCAAGGCACCGUCCCUCAAAAUCUCCGCGUCCUAAGGGACAACGAAGAAGCGGCGAGCGAGGGAAGCUGUUCCCUGCUGGACCCGGCGCAGCGAGACUGGGCGGCGGGCGGAGGAAGCGUUGCCUGCAACAGUUGUGGUUGUCAAGCAAGACUGAAGAGCUGCGAUUUGCAUUCUUGGAGCGCCCAGCCCCUGCUCCGGGUCCCCUGUGUCGGCUUCGAUGGACGAGCAGGACCAUGGGAAGGAUCAUUACACGGGUUGAUGUCAGCCCACUGGGGAUGCCAGGCUGGCUACAUCCCUUCUGCUGAGCAUCUCCAAUGUGGGCUAGAGUUUACCCGAGUUACACCCGGAGAUGGGACUGGUCACGUUUCACCUAGGACUUGGUCUUUCUCCCUCGGACACCAGAGCUGCCACCCGCUUUUUAGCCCAGGAGUGUAUAUUCUACCCUCUUAUCUAUAGCGCUAAGAGUUUGAGGACAGGCAAAAAACCAACACACCCCGGGGGGCGUCAGGAGGCAACAGGGAGAGAGAUUUUCACCCAAGGGAAGGCGGCCUCCGCGUCGAGGAGAAGCGGAAGCGGCGCUGGCUCGCACGGGAAAGCGGAGCGUGGGCCCGGGCCGAGCGUGUCACCGCGGCAUCCUGCCUCCUCGCCUCGCCUGAUGCCUCCCGCUAGCCGGUGACAGUGAUGGAUGACGGUGGAGAAGGUCUAAGCCAAACUGCUCACCAGCGCUGCCUUAGAUCUUUCCGUAGCUCAGGAAACAAAGCUGAUAAGAUCAAGAGACAACAUAAUCCCAGCUAAUGGAGAGCGAUCUGUCUUGGGCACCGUAAUCGGCAUUACGCAGGCUCGUACCUCCAACCCGCCGUGGUAUUUGUAGGCGUGGAAAGAAAACCUCAUUGCACUUUCAAAGAAGUUGGGGGGCUGGGGGUUUGUUUGUUCUCUUUGUUUUAGAUACAACGCUGAUGUGCCUUCCAGAGGCCGUGCCAAUGUCUCCUCCCGAUCAGCGGAGACUAACUCGGAAAUGAAGCCUGGAGGCCCAGCACCCACACACCGCCCCCCACAGUUUCACUUUUCCUUCUGUUCUGCUCUGGCUCUUUCCAGUCCUCAGAGAUGAACGUCCAAGAGAGACGAGACAAGGAGACCUUGUUCUGAAAGGUUAGAUCAUUGCCUUGCGCUCAGGACCACGGGGGGAAACACCUUGGCCCUUCAAACGCCCUCGGGAAGGAGGUAGAAGAACAUUAUGUUUUGUUAUUUGCUGGGUAUCACUUUCUUUCCUCCUGAGGUUAUUUUCAUUAUAUGUUUAUUGCCCAGAAGGCGUGUACUAGGUAAGACAGGACAACAUGUUCAGUCAACAAGUGAGCUCAGAGGGCAAAGGCAGAGGGGAGCGUGGAGCGUGCAGUCCCGGGACUGACUGUCCGAGUGUAAAGCGCCGUCUGGUUCUCUGUGUGCAGAAGUGGGUUUAGAGGUCGAGGUGGGCCCGGCAUGCUCCUCAUGGGUAAAGCUUGCUAAUGUCCCCAAAGUCGGAAGCUAUUCUGCGACGGCUUUAAUCAGCCUGAAGUUUAAAAUUACGCUUCAGUAAAGAACAUCUACAAGAUCUUUUUUUAAAAAAGGCAUACACUGUGGUGUCUACUCAUAUGCACAAAAAGUGUCAAAGUGGUUUCAUCCAGAGAGCUCCUAAGCAACAUGUCCUUGUCUCCCUUUCACUGAAAGGAAGCAUUUCAAUGUGAAUACAUUUUUUUUGGUUAGGUUAUUAGAUUUUCUUCGGAUUGCACAUGAUUAUAAUACUUGGGUGAGAUUAGGAGCUGCUCUGGAUCUGCCUCUAUGGGGUAAAAAUCUUACGAAAAUUGAACAAAUGCAAAGGAAAGUAAAAACAGUCACGGUACUGCCCCAAACUUGCCCGAAGAUAAUAAUGAUCACUGCUUAUAAAUGCAUGUUUGAGGUCUGCUUGAAUACGACCCUUGCAAAAAAGAGAAAAGUUAUUAUCUUGAAGGGAACUCCGUAGCGCCUAGGAAUCGCUCUGGCCGUCUGCAGCGAACUAAGCCCUUCACCUCACCUCUGAACGCGCUGAUCCACCCCCAACUCCGCACCUAAUUAGAGGGGACCGCGGAGCUGUCCUGGGCAGGGAGGUAGGGAUUAGGGUUAAGAAAACACUUGUAUUUGGAACCCCCUACCUCCCCUGGUCAGUGUGAAAGAUUCUCAAAGAAUCUCCCAGCCUCGCUAAUCCGUGACCCUCAGCAGGGAGGAAGUGUUAACAAUUUAGUUUAAAACUCACACUCUCAGACAAAUGCAUCAAAAACGGCUUUUCUCCUUUGAUUUGUAGGUAUUAGUUGUUUUUCCAGGCCCCAUUAAGGACUCUUCAUCCCCUAGGCAAGGGGCAUUAAGCCCUCGCCAGUUAGAGUUGUUCCCAGCUUUGUGUUUUUCAAAGGCAAUUUACACUAAUUAUUUGAGUCCACAGCGUCACCCAUAUUAGCGGAAUGAACCAUCUCAGCAGGUAAAAGUACUUUUGAAAUGUUAAUUUAUUACUAAGGUAUAAAAAUGUCCUUGAAUUUUUAAAAAAAAAAACCCACAACAUAAAAACCUUAACUAGCCUGUUUAAAAGAUGGGACUGAGACAUUCUGUCCCCUUUUUAUUUGCACCUACUCCUUCAUAAUUGCUUGUCUUUUAAAAACACAGGUUGUCAGGGCGCCUGGCGAUGCGCCGUCGGGCAUCCGGGCAGCACAGGGUCUGG